RNAcentral lists this ribosomal RNA (468 nucleotides) under uncultured bacterium. RNAcentral's name for it is "partial 16S ribosomal RNA". It matches the Rfam family "Bacterial small subunit ribosomal RNA", at positions 28 to 507 of the family's 1533-position model. The record is from RNAcentral.
GACGAACGCUGGCGGCGUGCUUAACACAUGCAAGUCGAACGGAAAGGCCCUGCUUUUGUGGGGUGCUCGAGUGGCGAACGGGUGAGUAACACGUGAGUAACCUGCCCUUGACUUUGGGAUAACUUCAGGAAACUGGGGCUAAUACCGGAUAGGAGCUCCUGCUGCAUGGUGGGGGUUGGAAAGUUUCGGCGGUUGGGGAUGGACUCGCGGCUUAUCAGCUUGUUGGUGGGGUAGUGGCUUACCAAGGCUUUGACGGGUAGCCGGCCUGAGAGGGUGACCGGCCACAUUGGGACUGAGAUACGGCCCAGACUCCUACGGGAGGCAGCAGUGGGGAAUAUUGCACAAUGGGCGGAAGCAUGAUGCAGCAACGCCGCGUGCGGGAUGACGGACUUCGGGGUGUAAACCGCUUUCGCCUGUGACGAAGAGUGAGUGACGGUAAUGGGUAAAGAAGCACCGGCUAACUACGUG